RNAcentral lists this long non-coding RNA (1338 nucleotides) under Nicotiana tabacum (common tobacco). RNAcentral describes it as "long non-coding RNA (NTAB_LNC015200)". Lineage: Eukaryota; Viridiplantae; Streptophyta; Magnoliopsida; Solanales; Solanaceae. The record is from RNAcentral.
CAAUAAAAUCCCCGUUGAGAACCUUCAAUCAAAAUGGGACAAAAAGAAAAAAGAGAGAGGCCCUACGAGGCAAAUCAUCACAGAAUCUGGAAAUACAAGCCUGAACAGUCUAGAAGGGUCUCGCCAUUCGAAUCAAAUCAAUGGCGGAAUUUCACAACAGAAACCAAGACGCGAGAAAGCAACUAGGAACGAUCAAGGUCACCAAACCGGCCGUCAUUCCCGAACUAACAAAUGAUUCUUUGUUUGGAAGGUUGAAACAGGUCUAAUCCAAAACAACCGUGCAAGGAGCAGGUGUCGCCCAAAGAAGAAGGUACACGGGUACAGGAAGUACUUCGGCAAUAAGGAAUUCACUCAAAAGGUAAGUUCCCGCAAACUCCCUUUUAUCUUCAAGAAAACUAAAAAAAAAUAUAUAGAUCGUGUAGAAUUCUCGAGCUCUCCCAUGCCAUCAGCAUUAGGGUUUUAAACCCUAAACUGAGUUUUCCUUUCAGCCAGCAUUAGAGUUUUAAACUCUAAACUGAGCUCUCCCAUGCCAUCAGCAUUAGGGUUUUAAACCCUAAACUGAAUUUUCCUUUCAGCCAGCAUUAGAGUUUUAAACUCUAUACUGAGCUUUUCCAUGCAAUCAGCAUUAGGGUUUUAAACCCUAAACUGAAUUUUCCUUUCAGCCAGCAUUAGAGUUUUAAACUCUAUACUGAGCUUUUCCAUGCAAUCAGCAUUAGGGUUUUAAACCCUAAACUGAAUUUUCCUUUCAGCCAGCAUUAGAGUUUUAAACUCUAAACUGAGCUUUUCCAUGCAAUCAGUAUUAGGGUUUUAAACCCUAAACUGAACUCUUCCUUUCAGCCAGCAUUAGAGUUUUAAACUCUAAACUGAGCAUUUUCAUGCAUCAGCAUUAGGGUUUUAAACCCUAAACUGAAUUUUCCUUUCAGCCAGCAUUAGAGUUUUAAACUCUAAACUGAGCUUUUUUUUUCAUGCAAUCAGCAUUAGGGUUUUAAACCCUAAACUGAACCUUUUCCUUUUUAGCCAGCAUUAGAGUUUUAAACUCUAAACUGAGCUUUUUCAUGCAAUCAGCAUUAGGGUUUUAAACCCUAAACUGAAUUUUCCUUUUAGUCAGCAUUAGGGUUUUAAACCCUAAACUGAACUUUUUCCUUUCAGCCAGCAUUAGAGUUUUAAACUCUAAACUGAGCUUUUUUCAUGCCAUCAGCAUUAGGGUUUUAAACCCUAAACUGAGUUUUCCUUUCAGCCAGCAUUAGAGUUUUAAACUCUAAACUGAGCUUUUCCAUGCAAUCAGCAUUAGGGUUUUAAACCCUAAACUGAAUUUUCCUUUCAGCCAGCAUUAGAGUU